RNAcentral lists this unclassified non-coding RNA (337 nucleotides) under soil metagenome. RNAcentral's name for it is "partial contains 5.8S ribosomal RNA, internal transcribed spacer 2, and large subunit ribosomal RNA". The stretch from base 1 to 120 matches the Rfam family "5.8S ribosomal RNA", at positions 35 to 154 of the family's 154-position model. The record is from RNAcentral.
GAUGAAGAACGUAGCGAAAUGCGAUACUUGGUGUGAAUUGCAGAAUUCAGUGAAUCAUCGAAUCUUUGAACGCACAUUGCGCCCCUUGGUAUUCCAUGGGGCAUGCCUGUUCGAGCGUCAUUUGUACCUUCAAGCUCUGCUUGGUGUUGGGUGUUUGUCUCGCCUCUGCGUGUAGACUCGCCUCAAAACAAUUGGCAGCCGGCGUAUUGAUUUCGGAGCGCAGUACAUCUCGCGCUUUGCACUCAUAACGACGACGUCCAAAAGUACAUUUUUACACUCUUGACCUCGGAUCAGGUAGGGAUACCCGCUGAACUUAAGCAUAUCAAUAAGCGGAGGA